CGCGAAGGCAAGCGGAUCUCUUAAAGCUGUUCUCAGUUCGGACUGCAGUCUGCAACUCGACUGCACGAAGCUGGAAUCGCUAGUAAUCGCGGAUCAGCACGCCGCGGUGAAUACGUUCCCGGGCCUUGUACACACCGCCCGUCACACCAUGGAAGUCUGCAAUGCCCGAAGCCGGUGGCCUAACCACUUACGUGGAAGGAGCCGUCUAAGGCAGGGCAGAUGACUGGGGUGAAGUCGUAACAAGGUAAC
RNAcentral lists this ribosomal RNA (249 nucleotides) under uncultured bacterium. Its description in RNAcentral is "partial 16S ribosomal RNA". It matches the Rfam family "Bacterial small subunit ribosomal RNA", at positions 1256 to 1500 of the family's 1533-position model. The record is from RNAcentral.